CUUCCCAGAGUGUGCUAGUUUUCCACACCCAGAAGAAAUCCCAGAACCCUGACCUGGUCCUGUGUCUGGCAAAUUCUGCUGCUCCAGGUGCUUGCAGAAUUUCAAAGGCUUAUUUCUCAGCUCAGGAGACUGAAGCCCUUUGGUUUCAGAGGGACUUGGGAUGUUUCAGUGUUCUGAGGUCCCAAGGAACCAGCUGCAGGAGGCCGUCAGCUGCCAAGAGAAGCCUCCAGUCCUGCUUUCCUCACUUCUAGAGAUAAUCUUGGAGAGAGAGAAAGAUCCUGUCUCAAGGACCAGCCCAACGCUCAAGGUAGGACCAGAAGAUGCACCAUCAGAAGAUACAGCACGGACAGCUGAUGACACAGCUGCAGCUCAUGAAUUUUUACCAUGGAAGUUGCGACUAUUCAUGGAGAAGUAGGCACCUGUGAAGAAGCAUUUCUCCCCAUGCCCGGAUCUUCACUGAAACAUGGACUGAAAGAUUUUAAGGGAAACAUCUACCAAUUGCAACAUAUGGACCUUAUAUGGAUCCCGAUUCAAACAAACAAAGAAAAAAUUAUGAGAUAAUUGGAAAAUUUGAACUCUGGUUGAAAAUUAACAAUAAUUUCUUAACAUAAAAUAUUCAAAGUAAAGAAGCCCACUUUCGCUGCAGUCUGAUUUCGAUGACUGAAACGGCAGCCAGGCCACGCCUCGCUGGGAGCUCCUCUGAGCGCCUCCUCCUCGCCACGCAGGAGCUGUUCCACGUGCAAGAGCCUUUCCCUCCGCUCCUGUCAUUCCUCUCAAGGCUUCUUGGCAGAAUUCCUACUGCUCUUAUUUAAUAUCAUCUCUCUUUACUAUUUCUGAACUCCAUUUCAUGCUUUUUCUAGUUAUUCCCAAUAAAGAAGAAACUGGAAAUUCACAUAUGCUGAGACUGAAAAUCUUGUUGCUGAAAGGGCAUACAGAAAUAGCCCGAGGAGUAGAGCUCUUCCCAAGAAAAGCUACUGGGGAAGGAUUUCUGCCUCGUUUUUCUUUAAAAUAAGGUCAUUUAACAUAAGUCUGAGGAAAGCAUAGUGAGCCACAUUUCAUUUUACUGUUAAUUGCACUUGAGCUGAGAAACAGAAGUAAUAAAA
Molecule: long non-coding RNA, 1103 nt
Filed under: Equus asinus (donkey)
Lineage: Eukaryota; Metazoa; Chordata; Mammalia; Perissodactyla; Equidae
Description: lncRNA (ENSEASG00005035339.1)
Source: RNAcentral